This 329-nucleotide ribosomal RNA is filed under the name uncultured eukaryote. Its description in RNAcentral is "partial 18S ribosomal RNA". It matches the Rfam family "Eukaryotic small subunit ribosomal RNA", at positions 1470 to 1796 of the family's 1831-position model. The record is from RNAcentral.
CCCUUAGAUGUUCUGGGCCGCACGCGCGCUACACUGAUGCAUUCAACGAGUCUAAAACCUGCUCUGAUAGGGGUGGGUAAUCUUUUGAAUGUGCAUCGUGAUUGGGAUAGAUGAUUGCAAUUUUUCAUCUUCAACGAGGAAUGCCUAGUAAACGCAAGUCAUCAGCUUGCAUUGAUUACGUCCCUGCCCUUUGUACACACCGCCCGUCGCUCCUACCGAUUGAAUGAUCCGAUGAAUAUCAUGGAUUGAGGAUGUAAGCAGGUUCGCCUGUCUUCAUCUUCGAGAAGUGAAGUAAAUCUUACCAUUUAGAGGUAGGAGAAGUCGUAACA